CAUAAGAUGUGGGCUGUCAAUUAAAGCGACGCUGUGAUGUUAUAGCAGAAUGCGUGUCACAAGCCGGAGGAUCCUAAAUUGACAACAGUCGUCCUUAUUAGGUCAUUUGUGUCAGGUCAUCGUAAAAAAAAACCCACACAGUUAAGUUCUUACCGUGGCAAUGCACAUGAAGUGGUUCUCCCCUCUAUUUCGUUGUGGUUGUUCCUCUCGGUGUAAUGAUAAGAGUGGCUAGUAGUGGUAACUUCUCCGCCUAUCUCCCUCAGUGAAGCUUCCUCUUUCCAGCCGCUAGAUCCUCCCACUGUGCGUUUCACGCUGGAUAAGGAAUGACAGCAUCCUUUCAAACAAGUUCUUUCUCGUUUGACUUUGGCUCAGGAGCUAUGUAGUACAAUGUAAACAGCACCUCUCUCUCUUUCUGUCCAGUCAAACCCCUCCUCCAACACCCCCCUGCUCUCCUUUCUCUCUGGAUUCUUGCAGCAUUCUUCAUUCAAUGACAUCAACCCUCUUCUAGCCUCUCCUUGUAAGGUCAGAAGAGUGAGGGAAUGAAGAACAGAGCGAGAGGGAGGGAGAGAUCAUGGGCAAAAGAGGCUUGAUUAGGACAACAGAUGGAAUCAGAGUCACAGUCCAGCCUUUCGCCUGGUCGUCAGGCUACCAUGACAACCAAGCUUCCGUAUCCUGUGACGUCACCUCCAUUGCCCUUUACAGUGGCUAGCAGUGGGCAGUCAGAAAGUGUUUUUCCGGAUGUAAGAAACAUGUAUCUAAACCGGAGUAAUGGGCGUCACACACGGGAGGCAACAAAUUCAUCGCCAUCGCCAUCGCCAUCGCCAUCGCGAAACCAUGCACACGGGGGGUGACAAGCGAUUGUGACCAUCUCCACAGCUGCAAGCAUCGUCAUGGUGACAGAAGUUCUGAGAGUUAGGAUCGGGCAGGGAGAAGGCAGCUGUGGGGUCCAGCCAGUGUGGAGGGGUCAGGACUGAUGCACCACAGGCAACCAGACAUACAGUAAAUGCCUUGAGGGAGAAGUCUCCCCAGAUUCCCUCUCUGACAGCAAGUACAUCUGCAUCAGUUAGAAAUAAGAUAAAAGACUGAGAUGAAGUGGAGCCAAUGAGGUACUGACACAGCUGAUAAAGACAAAGAUGGAUAGCAGUGAGGAUAAGGGGCAGCAAAAACAAGCCUUGAAGAGACUCGCAUAGGUGGCCGUCUAGACGAGGACAUUUGGGGCAAGAGGGAAGGGUGGGUAAUUUCAGGAGAGGAGGACGGAGAA
Molecule: long non-coding RNA, 1261 nt
Organism: Dunckerocampus dactyliophorus (ringed pipefish)
Lineage: Eukaryota; Metazoa; Chordata; Actinopteri; Syngnathiformes; Syngnathidae
Exons: 5
Source: RefSeq, a predicted model, not a curated record